Molecule: ribosomal RNA, 165 nt
Filed under: Eleusine indica (goosegrass)
Lineage: Eukaryota; Viridiplantae; Streptophyta; Magnoliopsida; Poales; Poaceae
Also listed under: 1 other name
Description: 5.8S ribosomal RNA
Rfam family: 5.8S ribosomal RNA
About the family: 5.8S ribosomal RNA (5.8S rRNA) is a component of the large subunit of the eukaryotic ribosome.
Source: RNAcentral
UCACAUGACUCUCGGCAACGGAUAUCUUGGCUCUCGCAUCGAUGAAGAACGUAGCAAAAUGCGAUACCUGGUGUGAAUUGCAGAAUCCCGUGAACCAUCGAGUUUUUGAACGCAAGUUGCGCCCGAGGCCUUUUGGUCGAGGGCACGUCUGCCUGGGCGUCACGU